RNAcentral lists this unclassified non-coding RNA (253 nucleotides) under uncultured Solirubrobacterales bacterium. RNAcentral's name for it is "contains 16S-23S intergenic spacer region". It matches the Rfam family "Bacterial small subunit ribosomal RNA", at positions 524 to 776 of the family's 1533-position model. The record is from RNAcentral. Lineage: Bacteria; Bacillati; Actinomycetota; Thermoleophilia; Solirubrobacterales.
UACGUAGGGGGCAAGCGUUGUCCGGAAUCAUUGGGCGUAAAGAGCGCGUAGGCGGUCCGGUAAGUCCGCUGUAAAAGUCAAGGGCUCAACCCUUGAAGGCCGGUGGAUACUGUCGGGCUAGAGUCCGGAAGAGGCGAGUGGAAUUCCUGGUGUGGCGGUGAAAUGCGCAGAUAUCAGGAGGAACACCUAUGGCGAAGGCAGCUCGCUGGGACGGUACUGACGCUGAGGCGCGAAAGCUAGGGGAGCGAACAGG